This 465-nucleotide ribosomal RNA is filed under the name Vreelandella stevensii. RNAcentral's name for it is "partial 16S ribosomal RNA". It matches the Rfam family "Bacterial small subunit ribosomal RNA", at positions 338 to 795 of the family's 1533-position model. Lineage: Bacteria; Pseudomonadati; Pseudomonadota; Gammaproteobacteria; Oceanospirillales; Halomonadaceae. The record is from RNAcentral.
CCUACGGGCGGCUGCAGUGGGGAAUAUUGGACAAUGGGGGGAACCCUGAUCCAGCCAUGCCGCGUGUGUGAUGAAGGCCCUCGGGUUGUAAAGCACUUUCAGUGAGGAAGAACGCCUGGUGGUUAAUACCCAUCAGGAAAGACAUCACUCACAGAAGAAGCACCGGCUAACUCCGUGCCAGCAGCCGCGGUAAUACGGAGGGUGCGAGCGUUAAUCGGAAUUACUGGGCGUAAAGCGCGCGUAGGUGGCUUGAUAAGCCGGUUGUGAAAGCCCCGGGCUCAACCUGGGAACGGCAUCCGGAACUGUCAAGCUAGAGUGCAGGAGAGGAAGGUAGAAUUCCCGGUGUAGCGGUGAAAUGCGUAGAGAUCGGGAGGAAUACCAGUGGCGAAGGCGGCCUUCUGGACUGACACUGACACUGAGGUGCGAAAGCGUGGGUAGCAAACAGGAUUAGAUACCCUUGUAGUC